UGACCUGCGGAAGGAUCAUUACAAGAAACGAGGCCGCGUGCGUGCGCUCGCCCGCCCGGCCCCGCUCCUUACCUUGCCUACUGCACCGUUUGUUGCUUCCUGGCGGCGGACUGCCCGCCGCCAGGGACGUUGAUACAACCCUGUAUAGAAGCAUUGAAGCUCUGAGAAAACGCGAAAUCGUACAACUUUCAACAAUGGAUCUCUUGGUUCUGGCAUCGAUGAAGAACGCAGCGAAAUGCGAUAAGUAGUGUGAAUUGCAGAAUUCAGUGAAUCAUCGAAUCUUUGAACGCACAUUGCGCCCCUUGGCAUUCCAUGGGGCAUGCCUGUUCGAGCGUCAUCUAAACCCUCAAGCCCCCGGCUUGGUGUUGGGUGCCUGUCCCCGCUCCCCGCGCGGACUCACCCCAAAUGCAUUGGCAGCCGCCUCUCGGCUUCUUGCGCAGCACAGUGCGCAGCGAGGCGAGGUGAGGCGUGCGUCCAGCAAGCAACCACCCAAGUUUGACCUCGGAUCAGGUAGGGAUACCCGCUGAACUUAAGCAUAUCAAUAAGCGGAGGAAAAGAAACCAACUGGGAUUGCCCUAGUAACGGCGAGUGAAGCGGCAACAGCUCAAAUUUGAAAUCUGGCCUCCUUCGGUGGUCCGAGUUGUAAUUUGCAGAGGGUGCUUUGGCGUUGGCAGCGGUCUAAGUUCCUUGGAACAGGACGUCACAGAGGGUGAGAAUCCCGUACGUGGUCGCCCGCCUCCGCCGUGUAAAGCCCCUUCGACGAGUCGAGUUGUUUGGGAAUGCAGCUCUAAAUGGGA
RNAcentral lists this ribosomal RNA (797 nucleotides) under fungal sp. RNAcentral describes it as "eukaryotic LSU rRNA". The stretch from base 497 to 797 matches the Rfam family "Eukaryotic large subunit ribosomal RNA", at positions 1 to 297 of the family's 3401-position model. The record is from RNAcentral. Lineage: Eukaryota; Fungi.